UUGGCACUAGAAGCCGAUGAAGGACGUUACUAACGACGAUAUGCUUUGGGGAGCUGUAAGUAAGCUUUGAUCCAGAGAUUUCCGAAUGGGGAAACCCAGCAUGAGUUAUGUCAUGUUAUCGAUAUGUGAAUACAUAGCAUAUCAGAAGGCACACCCGGAGAACUGAAACAUCUUAGUACCCGGAGGAAGAGAAAGAAAAUUCGAUUCCCUUAGUAGCGGCGAGCGAAACGGGAAGAGCCCAAACCAACAAGCUUGCUUGUUGGGGUUGUAGGACACUCUGUACGGAGUUACAAAGGACGACAUUAGACGAAUCAUCUGGAAAGAUGAAUCAAAGAAGGUAAUAAUCCUGUAGUCGAAAAUGUUGUCUCUCUUGAGUGGAUCCUGAGUACGACGGAGCACGUGAAAUUCCGUCGGAAUCUGGGAGGACCAUCUCCUAAGGCUAAAUACUCUCUAGUGACCGAUAGUGAACCAGUACCGUGAGGGAAAGGUGAAAAGCACCCCGGAAGGGGAGUGAAAUAGAACCUGAAACCGUGUGCUUACAAGUAGUCAGAGCCCGUUAAUGGGUGAUGGCGUGCCUUUUGUAGAAUGAACCGGCGAGUUACGAUUUGAUGCAAGGUUAAGCAGUAAAUGUGGAGCCGUAGCGAAAGCGAGUCUGAAUAGGGCGUUUAGUAUUUGGUCGUAGACCCGAAACCAGGUGAUCUACCCUUGGUCAGGUUGAAGUUCAGGUAACACUGAAUGGAGGACCGAACCGACUUACGUUGAAAAGUGAGCGGAUGAACUGAGGGUAGCGGAGAAAUUCCAAUCGAACCUGGAGAUAGCUGGUUCUCUCCGAAAUAGCUUUAGGGCUAGCCUCAAGUGAUGAUUAUUGGAGGUAGAGCACUGUUUGGACGAGGGGCCCCUCUCGGGUUACCGAAUUCAGACAAACUCCGAAUGCCAAUUAAUUUAACUUGGGAGUCAGAACAUGGGUGAUAAGGUCCGUGUUCGAAAGGGAAACAGCCCAGACCACCAGCUAAGGUCCCAAAAUAUAUGUUAAGUGGAAAAGGAUGUGGCGUUGCCCAGACAACUAGGAUGUUGGCUUAGAAGCAGCCAUCAUUUAAAGAGUGCGUAAUAGCUCACUAGUCGAGUGACACUGCGCCGAAAAUGUACCGGGGCUAAACAUAUUACCGAAGCUGUGGAUUGUCCUUUGGACAAUGGUAGGAGAGCGUUCUAAGGGCGUUGAAGCAUGAUCGUAAGGACAUGUGGAGCGCUUAGAAGUGAGAAUGCCGGUGUGAGUAGCGAAAGACGGGUGAGAAUCCCGUCCACCGAUUGACUAAGGUUUCCAGAGGAAGGCUCGUCCGCUCUGGGUUAGUCGGGUCCUAAGCUGAGGCCGACAGGCGUAGGCGAUGGAUAACAGGUUGAUAUUCCUGUACCACCUAUAAUCGUUUUAAUCGAUGGGGGGACGCAGUAGGAUAGGCGAAGCGUGCGAUUGGAUUGCACGUCUAAGCAGUAAGGCUGAGUAUUAGGCAAAUCCGGUACUCGUUAAGGCUGAGCUGUGAUGGGGAGAAGACAUUGUGUCUUCGAGUCGUUGAUUUCACACUGCCGAGAAAAGCCUCUAGAUAGAAAAUAGGUGCCCGUACCGCAAACCGACACAGGUAGUCAAGAUGAGAAUUCUAAGGUGAGCGAGCGAACUCUCGUUAAGGAACUCGGCAAAAUGACCCCGUAACUUCGGGAGAAGGGGUGCUCUUUAGGGUUAACGCCCAGAAGAGCCGCAGUGAAUAGGCCCAAGCGACUGUUUAUCAAAAACACAGGUCUCUGCUAAACCGUAAGGUGAUGUAUAGGGGCUGACGCCUGCCCGGUGCUGGAAGGUUAAGAGGAGUGGUUAGCUUCUGCGAAGCUACGAAUCGAAGCCCCAGUAAACGGCGGCCGUAACUAUAACGGUCCUAAGGUAGCGAAAUUCCUUGUCGGGUAAGUUCCGACCCGCACGAAAGGCGUAACGAUUUGGGCACUGUCUCAACGAGAGACUCGGUGAAAUCAUAGUACCUGUGAAGAUGCAGGUUACCCGCGACAGGACGGAAAGACCCCGUGGAGCUUUACUGUAGCCUGAUAUUGAAAUUCGGCACAGCUUGUACAGGAUAGGUAGGAGCCUUUGAAACGUGAGCGCUAGCUUACGUGGAGGCGCUGGUGGGAUACUACCCUAGCUGUGUUGGCUUUCUAACCCGCACCACUUAUCGUGGUGGGAGACAGUGUCAGGCGGGCAGUUUGACUGGGGCGGUCGCCUCCUAAAAGGUAACGGAGGCGCUCAAAGGUUCCCUCAGAAUGGUUGGAAAUCAUUCAUAGAGUGUAAAGGCAUAAGGGAGCUUGACUGCGAGACCUACAAGUCGAGCAGGGUCGAAAGACGGACUUAGUGAUCCGGUGGUUCCGCAUGGAAGGGCCAUCGCUCAACGGAUAAAAGCUACCCCGGGGAUAACAGGCUUAUCUCCCCCAAGAGUUCACAUCGACGGGGAGGUUUGGCACCUCGAUGUCGGCUCAUCGCAUCCUGGGGCUGUAGUCGGUCCCAAGGGUUGGGCUGUUCGCCCAUUAAAGCGGUACGCGAGCUGGGUUCAGAACGUCGUGAGACAGUUCGGUCCCUAUCCGUCGUGGGCGUAGGAAAUUUGAGAGGAGCUGUCCUUAGUACGAGAGGACCGGGAUGGACAUACCUCUGGUGUACCAGUUGUCGUGCCAACGGCAUAGCUGGGUAGCUAUGUGUGGACGGGAUAAGUGCUGAAAGCAUCUAAGCAUGAAGCCCCCCUCAAGAUGAGAUUUCCCAACUUCGGUUAUAAGAUCCCUCAAAGAUGAUGAGGUUAAUAGGUUCGAGGUGGAAGCAUGGUGACAUGUGGAGCUGACGAAUACUAAUCGAUCGAAGACUUAAUCAA
This 2891-nucleotide ribosomal RNA is filed under the name Staphylococcus aureus M1079. RNAcentral's name for it is "bacterial LSU rRNA". It matches the Rfam family "Bacterial large subunit ribosomal RNA". The record is from RNAcentral. Lineage: Bacteria; Bacillati; Bacillota; Bacilli; Caryophanales; Staphylococcaceae.